UGAUCCUGGCUCAGAUUGAACGCUGGCGGCAUGCUUUACACAUGCAAGUCGAACGGCAGCGGGGGCUUCGGCCUUGCCGGCGAGUGGCGAACGGGUGAGUAAUACAUCGGAACGUGUCCUUAAGUGGGGAAUAACGUCGAAAGAUGUGAAUACCGCAUAUCUCUGGAGAAAAGCAGGGGAUCGCAAGACCUUGCGCUAAAGGAGCGGCCGAUGUCUGAUUAGCUAGUUGGUGGGGUAAAGGCUUACCAAGGCAACGAUCAGUAGUUGGUCUGAGAGGACGGCCAACCACACUGGGACUGAGACACGGCCCAGACUCCUACGGGAGGCAGCAGUGGGGAAUUGGACAAUGGGCGGCCUGAUCCAGCCAUGCCGCGUGAGUGAAGAAGGCCGGGUUGUAAAGCUCUUUUAGUCGGAAAGAAAGAGUUGCAAUGAAUAAUUGUGAKUUAUGACGGUACCGACAGAAAAAGCACCGGCUAACUGUGCCAGCAGCCGGUACGUAGGGUGCGAGCGUAUCGGAAUUACUGGCGUNAAGCGUGCGCAGGCGGUUGAAGUCAGAUGUGAAACCCCGGGCUAACCUGGGAAUGCRUUAAACUACAAGGCUAGAGUGCAGCAGAGGGGAGUGGAAUUCCAUGUGUAGCAGUGAAAUGCGUAGAGAUGUGGAAGAACACCGAUGGCGAAGGCAGCUCCCUGGGUUGACACUGACGCUCAUGCACGAAAGCGUGGGGAGCAAACAGGAUUAGAUACCCUGGUAGUCCACGCCCUAAACGAUGUCAACUAGUUGUCGGAUCUAAUUAAGGAUUUGGUAACGUACGUAACGCGUGAAGUUGACCGCCUGGGGAGUACGGUCGCAAGAUUAAAACUCAAAGGAAUUGACGGGGACCCGCACAAGCGGUGGAUUAUGUGGAUUAAUUCGAUGCAACGCGAAAAACCUUACCUACCCUUGACAUGCUUGGAAUCUAAUGGAGACAUAAGAGUACCCGAAAGGGAGCCAAGACACAGGUGCUGCAUGGCUUCGUCAGCUCGUGUCGUGAGAUGUUGGGUUAAGUCCCGCAACGACGCAACCCUUGUACUAAUUGCAUCAUUUUUAAUGAGCACUUUAGUGAGACUGCCGGUACAAACCGGAGGAAGGUGGGGAUGACGUAAGUCCUAGCCCUAUGGGUGGGCUCACACGUAUAC
RNAcentral lists this ribosomal RNA (1176 nucleotides) under Nitrosomonas europaea. Its description in RNAcentral is "bacterial SSU rRNA". It matches the Rfam family "Bacterial small subunit ribosomal RNA", at positions 14 to 1228 of the family's 1533-position model. Lineage: Bacteria; Pseudomonadati; Pseudomonadota; Betaproteobacteria; Nitrosomonadales; Nitrosomonadaceae. The record is from RNAcentral.